UAGUUGGUAAGGUAACGGCUUACCAAGGCGACGAUCAGUAGCCGACCUGAGAGGGUGAUCGGCCACAUUGGAACUGAGACACGGUCCAAACUCCUACGGGAGGCAGCAGUGGGGAAUAUUGCACAAUGGGCGAAAGCCUGAUGCAGCAACGCCGCGUGAGUGAUGAAGGCCUUCGGGUCGUAAAACUCUGUCCUCAAGGAAGAUAAUGACGGUACUUGAGGAGGAAGCCCCGGCUAACUACGUGCCAGCAGCCGCGGUAAUACGUAGGGGGCUAGCGUUAUCCGGAUUUACUGGGCGUAAAGGGUGCGUAGGCGGUCUUUCAAGGCAGGAGUGAAAGGCUACGGCUCAACCGUAGUAAGCUCUUGAAACUGGGAGACUUGAGUGCAGGAGAGGAGAGUGGAAUUCCUAGUGUAGCGGUGAAAUGCGUAGAUAUUAGGAGGAACACCAGUUGCGAAGGCGGCUCUCUGGACUGUAACUGACGCUGAGGCACGAAAGCGUGGGGAGCAAACAGGAUUAGAUACCCUGGUAGUCCACGCUGUAAACGAUGAGUACUAGGUGUCGGGGGUUACCCCCUUCGGUGCCGCAGCUAACGCAUUAAGUACUCCGCCUGGGAAGUACGCUCGCAAGAGUGAAACUCAAAGGAAU
Molecule: ribosomal RNA, 645 nt
Filed under: Clostridioides difficile
Lineage: Bacteria; Bacillati; Bacillota; Clostridia; Peptostreptococcales; Peptostreptococcaceae
Description: bacterial SSU rRNA
Rfam family: Bacterial small subunit ribosomal RNA
Source: RNAcentral